AAAUUGAAGAGUUUGAUCAUGGCUCAGAUUGAACGCUGGCGGCAGGCCUAACACAUGCAAGUCGAACGGUAACAGGAAGCAGCUUGCUGCUUUGCUGACGAGUGGCGGACGGGUGAGUAAUGUCUGGGAAACUGCCUGAUGGAGGGGGAUAACUACUGGAAACGGUAGCUAAUACCGCAUAAUGUCGCAAGACCAAAGAGGGGGACCUUCGGGCCUCUUGCCAUC
Molecule: ribosomal RNA, 225 nt
Filed under: Escherichia coli
Lineage: Bacteria; Pseudomonadati; Pseudomonadota; Gammaproteobacteria; Enterobacterales; Enterobacteriaceae
Description: partial 16S ribosomal RNA
Rfam family: Bacterial small subunit ribosomal RNA
Source: RNAcentral